Molecule: unclassified non-coding RNA, 118 nt
Filed under: uncultured Ascomycota
Lineage: Eukaryota; Fungi; Ascomycota
Description: sequence contains ITS1
Source: RNAcentral
ACGAAUGGUCAUCCUUGAUCUUCUACCCUCAAACAACUGUGGACACCAGAUGUGCUUCGGCGUCGAGAGGCGCCGCCUUUAUGCUUCAGAGUAUUGUAGUCUGUAUGAAACAAUGUCA